AUUGAACGCUGGCGGCAUGCUUUACACAUGCAAGUCGAACGGCAGCGCGGGCUUCGGCCUGGCGGCGAGUGGCGAACGGGUGAGUAAUGCAUCGGAACGUGCCCAGUAGUGGGGGAUAGCCCGGCGAAAGCCGGAUUAAUACCGCAUACGAACUGAGGGUGAAAGCGGGGGACCGAAAGGCCUCGCGCUAUUGGAGCGGCCGAUGUCGGAUUAGCUAGGUGGUGGGGUAAAGGCUUACCAAGGCGACGAUCCGUAGCUGGUCUGAGAGGACGACCAGCCACACUGUGACUGAGACACGGCCCAGACUCCGACGGGAGGCAGCAGUGGGGAAUUUUGGACAAUGGGGGCAACCCUGAUCCAGCCAUGCCGCGUGCGGGAAGAAGGCCUUCGGGUUGUAAACCGCUUUUGUUCGGGAAGAAAUCCUCUGGGCUAAUACCCCGGGGGGAUGACGGUACCGGAAGAAUAAGCACCGGCUAACUACGUG
Molecule: ribosomal RNA, 484 nt
Filed under: uncultured bacterium
Lineage: Bacteria
Description: partial 16S ribosomal RNA
Rfam family: Bacterial small subunit ribosomal RNA
Source: RNAcentral